Molecule: RNA transcript, 3844 nt
Organism: Dermochelys coriacea (leatherback sea turtle)
Lineage: Eukaryota; Metazoa; Chordata; Testudines; Dermochelyidae
Gene: CD79A
Gene name: CD79a molecule
Exons: 6
Source: RefSeq, a predicted model, not a curated record
GCCCCCCUGUACCCCUUCCUCUACCCCGCCGACUCCCCUGGACACACACAUCCCGGGCCCAGAAGUUUGGGGUGCAAACUUUCCAGUGUGAGCCCCUAAUGAUCGCCCGCCCUGCUCUGCAAUCUAGCCCCGCCCCCGCGUGCCAGGCCCGAUUCCCCCGGGAAGGUGGGGGGAUGGGGGGUCCUGAGCUGCGACUGGAGUCUGCACCCCUCCCUCACCUGCUGCGUGAGCGCCCUCUGGCGGCGAACCCCGGGUGCUGCGCCUCCCGUUCCAGCCCCGUCUGAAAUUACCGCGCAGGGAACUAACCCUGCGGCCCAGAGGAGCUGAUUUCCGAAGGCGCGGCUUGGCGGGGGCGGGGGCCGGUUAUACCGGGACCCCUCGCCCUGCGCUGACGUGCAGCUGUCUCUGGGGUGAGGCGGGGGCUGUUUGUACAGGGACCCCUCACGCAGCGGCAGGGACCCGGGCCCUCUGGGGGGGGUGGGGGCCAGUUAUACAGGGACCCCUCCCCCGGUGCUGGGACGCAGCCCCUCUGGGGUGGGGCAGGGGCUGGUUACAAAUCUUCCCACCCAGCAGUUUGAGAGAGAAGCUGGAGAGGAAAAGCCUGCAUCCCACUGUCCUGGCCGGGGCCAAACGCAGGCAGCAAAAGUGGCAUUUGGCCUAGGGAUCCCGACCUGACCCCCCCGGAGGCUCCACCCUACACCCUGCCACACAGCAUCCUCUAGUGCCGCACUGGGGUCAGCACUGGCUGCCAGGGGUCACCACACACUUGCACCGCAGUCCCUGGCUGGACCGACGGGGGUCUCAGCAGGUGCAGGGAGGGGAUCUCCCCUCUGGGCUUGGCGCAGGGGCCACGUGGCUGGAUCCACGCUCGGUGCUGGGCCCCCCACAUUCCCUGAGGCUGGUGCUGGGCCUCCGGCGCUCCCUGCCAGCUGGUGAUACACUGCGAGGGGCCAGAGCAGAGCCCUGAGGAUGAUUCAAGGGUUCAAAGCCCUGCCCCAGAGCCGCCAGGAGCUCCCGCUGUUCAGCUGGGCCCAGGGAGGGUCGGGGGGACUUGGUCCCCAUCUCUCGGCCCCAGGGUCGGGGGCUCUUCACGUCAGCAGCAAAAGGCCUGGCCGGGAGGGGGAGCUGGACCCGGUCGGACGGGGCAUUGGGAGGGCAAUGGCCCGCUGGACGACGGAUCCCCCGUCCCUGACCAUGUUAAAUCCCUGAGCGGCCAUUUGUCAGAGAUCUGCUCCGGUGAUGGUUCGGGGGCCGGGCUGUGGCCUGUGUGGUGCACACAGAUCCCUACUAGCCACAAGAAUUCCCACCCCACUCCCUGCAACACAGUCCUCCUCGGCUGGCCCUGGGGACCAGAGAGUACCCCCCCCGAACCCUGUAUCCCAUUCCCCCGCACCGUGGAAGUCUCCAAGCCAAGCAUGAAGCCUGCCAGCAGCUGUUCGAGCUAGUGCGUGAGGCCGGAAGGCUGCAGAGCUGGGCAGGACCCGUGGGGGCGGGGACGCAGUGGGGCGCAUCUCCUGCUGAUGGGCACCGAGGAGAAAAGCCAGGACCCGGAUGGAUGCUUUGCACACACAGAGCUGGCUGCAGCACGCAGGGCUUCUCCUCCACACCCCGGCACCAGGAGACGUGAACCCCGACCACCAUGGAGAUGGGGCCAGCGUGGGUCUGUGUCCUGCUCCCCCUCUGCCUCUUGCCGGGACACCUUUGCGGCGAGCUCUCCACAAACACGACAGCACUGUGCAAUGGGACCACCGCGAAUGUGACCGAGGUCCCCCCGGCCCCCAGCACCCCUUGGCCCAGGCUCCCCGUGGUCAGGGUGCAAACCAGCCCGGCCGCCCAGCUCCUGGCGGAGAACAGCCUUGUGAAGGUGGAGGCUGGCCUCACCUCUGUGACUGUACCUGAGGGGGGCCGGGCGACCCUGGAGUGCCGGUUCGAAGCCCCGUCUGGGGCCCGGGUCACCUGGAGCCGAGCCUCUCGGAACUGCAGCGAGCCCAUCCUGGUGGCCAAUGGCACUGGCCCCCAGCACAGCGUGGCCAUCACCUUGGGCACUGGCGUCUCCGUCCUCGCCUUCCACUCUGCCAGGAAGAGCGACAUCGGCCUGUAUUUCUGCCAGGUGCAAACCAACGAGGCCUGGGGCCAGUCGUGCGGCACCUACCUGCGGGUCCGCAAACCCAUCCCGGUUCCCUUCCUGAACAUGCGGGAAUCCACCAAGAACCAGCUGAUCACCGCCGAGGGCAUCCUGCUCCUGUUCUGUGCUGUGGGGCCCGGCAUCUUCCUCCUCUUCAGGAAGAGAUGGGAGAACGAGCGGCUGCUGCAGUCCAAGAAGAACGAGUAUGAAGAGGAGAAUCUGUACGAGGGCCUGAACCUGGACGAGUGCUCCAUGUAUGAGGACAUCUCGCGGGGCCUGCAUGCCACCUACCAGGACGUGGCCAACCUCCAUGUGCUCGACAUGCAGCUGGAGAAGCCGUGAGGGGGGCACCGGCUAUGACCCGGGACCUCUUGGUGCCAGCUGGGUCCCUGGGUCUGGUCUUUCCACAGCGGUUUGUCCCAGGCUGCUGGGCGAGGCCUCUACCACAAGCCUGCGUCACCCUGAUUGUCACCACGCUGGGAGGGGAGUUGUGCGUUUACACGGACCGUUCUGCUCUGGGAGCCGGGUGCUCUCCCCAAGGGGAGAACCGAGUUCCUCUCAGGCAGGAGACGCUUGUUCACCGGUCGGGCUAACUGUCACGUCGCAGUGGGUGCGCUCCCCACUGAGCGAAGUGCGAGGCGAGGCUCGGCUCGGUGAACUUGCCGGGGAGAUCUCAGCAGAGCCCGUGGCAACGGGAAGUGUGGACCGAUGGCGGAGGGUGCAGAGAUCCACCCAGAGCCUGUCAUGUGGAGAUACUACCAUACCAAAGACUACAAGGAGCAGAUAGCCAUGUAAAAAUAGGCUGACCACUGCAGCAACGAGUACCUUCUCCAGAUCAGACAUGCAUAGCAGAUCUCCCCCAAAUGGCACCCCUUGCUGACAGUCACUCCAUCACCACAGCAAUCUAUCUUCCCAUAACUUGGCCUUCUUGCCAGGUCACACUUUAGUCCACCCCUUCCAGGGUAACAGAAAGCCCAACAUCCUCACCAAAGGAUCUUUGGGCCUCCAACAUGAGGCCUCUGGUCCUCACAUCCUUACCUCAGAGUUUUCCAGUGUCCUUGUCCCCUUCUCUGGGCUCAUGACACCUUACCAGUGGCUGAUGGGGAGCCUGGGCCCUUCCACUACACCAGGUCCCAGCCCAGGAACCUUUAGCCCAGGGGUGGGGAACCUACAGCCCAUGGGCCAGAUCCAGCUCUUUGUUUAAUUUCAUCUGGCCCAUGGCAAGUCUCAGCACCACAGGCUAGAAGCCCCAAGUCUCAGUACCACCCCCCCAUGAGUGCCUGCUCACCCCACCAGGGGUGGGAAGCUUUGGCACCCCCUCCCACAGGGCUAUAUGUAGCCCACAAUUGAUUUUUUUUCUGUGAGUCAAUGGCCCAGUGAUAGAAAAAAGGUUAUCUAACCCUGCUUUAGCCAGUGGUUCAGUUCUACUCCUUCCUAGCCAGCCUCUCUCAGGCUUGGCCUUUUAAGGCCCUUACUCUGUUCCUCCACAGAGCCCCAUCCAAAGCACUCUCUCCUCUCCCCGACAGUCUGACUCCAAAACCCUCCUAUCUUUCAGGGCACACCCCUAGUCUAGUCUCGUCUCGUCUCGUCUCCUCUCCUCUCCAUGGCUCCCUUCUCCCUAGCUGCUUACCAGCCUCCUCUAUUCUCAUUAGGGUACUAGGGCUUGGAUUAUUCUCCUGCCUAACCUCUACCUCCCCCACCUCCUUAAUCCCCUAAAAU